CUCACCCCGUCCUCGCGGCCGCCGCCGGCGUUUCCGUCGAAUUGAUCUAGGUUACUCUAGAGGCCCCUCGAUCGAGUCGGAGUCUCGACGACGCCUUCCCGCAUUGGCUUGGCGAGCGGAGAAGCCAAGGAGUUCCUCCCAGCUGGCGCGUGGGACCCGCUCGCCAGCCACACGUCGCGGCCCUUUUGCUCCCCCUUCCAUCCAUUGGUAAACUCACGACGUCCUUUUCGCUGCUUCCGUUGCGUGUGCAGGCUGUUUCUUCAAGGGCUGGAGAGGUACGGGCGCGGGGACUGGCGCAACAUCUCGCGGUUCUCGGUGCGGACGCGGACGCCGGCGCAGGUCGCCAGCCACGCGCAGAAGUACUUCAACCGGCGGCUCAACCC
This 383-nucleotide long non-coding RNA is filed under the name Setaria italica (foxtail millet). RNAcentral's name for it is "long non-coding RNA (SITA_LNC004109)". Lineage: Eukaryota; Viridiplantae; Streptophyta; Magnoliopsida; Poales; Poaceae. The record is from RNAcentral.